GCUUACGGCCAUACCACCCUGAGAACGCCCGAUUUCGUCUGAUCUCGGAAGCUAAGCAGUGUCGGGCCUGGUUAGUACUUGGAUGGGAGACUGCCUAGGAAUACCAGGUGCUGUAAGCU
Betta splendens (Siamese fighting fish) is the source of this 119-nucleotide ribosomal RNA. The record is from Ensembl. NCBI's taxonomy places the organism in Eukaryota, Metazoa, Chordata, Actinopteri, Anabantiformes, Osphronemidae.